This is a non-coding RNA of Borealophlyctis nickersoniae, 105 nucleotides long. The record is from the annotation of a GenBank genome assembly. NCBI's taxonomy places the organism in Eukaryota, Fungi, Chytridiomycota, Chytridiomycetes, Rhizophlyctidales, Borealophlyctidaceae.
GCUCGAUUAGCUCAGUUGGUUUAGAGCGUGGUGCUAAUACGCAGGUUUCAUUGAAAACAUGUCGUUGAUACGCCAAGGUCACAGGUUCGAUCCCUGUAUCGAGCA